UCUGUAGGUGGCUUGCUAAGUCAGACGUGAAAUCCCUCAGCUUAACUGGGGAACUGCGUCUGAUACUGGCAAGCUUGAGUGCAGGAGAGGAACGCGGAAUUCCAGGUGUAGCGGUGAAAUGCGUAGAUAUCUGGAGGAACACCGGUGGCGAAGGCGGCGUUCUGGACUGCAACUGACACUGAGAGACGAAAGCCAGGGGAGCAAACG
This 207-nucleotide ribosomal RNA is filed under the name uncultured bacterium. RNAcentral's name for it is "partial 16S ribosomal RNA". It matches the Rfam family "Bacterial small subunit ribosomal RNA", at positions 568 to 774 of the family's 1533-position model. The record is from RNAcentral.